UACGUAGGGCGCAAGCGUUGUCCGGAAUUAUUGGGCGUAAAGAGCUCGUAGGCGGCUUGUCACGUCGGGUGUGAAAGCCCGGGGCUUAACCCCGGGUCUGCAUUCGAUACGGGCUAGCUAGAGUGUGGUAGGGGAGAUCGGAAUUCCUGGUGUAGCGGUGAAAUGCGCAGAUAUCAGGAGGAACACCGGUGGCGAAGGCGGGUCUCUGGGCCGAUACUGACGCUGAGGAGCGAAAGCGUGGGGAGCGAACAGG
RNAcentral lists this ribosomal RNA (253 nucleotides) under uncultured bacterium. RNAcentral describes it as "partial 16S ribosomal RNA". It matches the Rfam family "Bacterial small subunit ribosomal RNA", at positions 524 to 776 of the family's 1533-position model. The record is from RNAcentral.